RNAcentral lists this ribosomal RNA (116 nucleotides) under Morganella morganii. Lineage: Bacteria; Pseudomonadati; Pseudomonadota; Gammaproteobacteria; Enterobacterales; Morganellaceae. The record is from RNAcentral.
CCUGGCGGCCGUAGCGCGGUGGUCCCACCUGACCCCAUGCCGAACUCAGAAGUGAAACGCCGUAGCGCCGAUGGUAGUGUGGGGUUUCCCCAUGUGAGAGUAGGGAACCGCCAGGU